Molecule: non-coding RNA, 19 nt
Filed under: Xenopus tropicalis (tropical clawed frog)
Lineage: Eukaryota; Metazoa; Chordata; Amphibia; Anura; Pipidae
Also listed under: 2 other names
Source: RNAcentral
GCCUGCCUGGGCGUCACGC